UAAAAUCGCAGCCCUUAUCCGAAUAUCUUGUCAUGUGUUUUUUCAAACAAACCUAAAGACUAACAACUAUUUAACGUUCAUCUCCCUCUCUUAUAUCAGCGACAAGCUUAUCCUAUUUUGUAUUGUUUUUUUUUUUUGUUUUUUUAUAACCUUUGUUGUAUACUUGUGUUUUGUUUGUUCUUUUUGUUAUGAUGGUUUUGUUUCGUCUACAAUUCUACAUAUUCACCUUUUUGUUAUCUCAUCAAAUAUUAGAGUCAUGACAAUAAGAUAGCCAAAGAAGGGUGAGCACUGGUGUCAGGCCAACUUGAGUUAGCAAUCCAGUAGAUGUUAAAGUUGCGGUUAUACAUCCAUCGUUACAACUCUCUACCUUGCUCAAGAACAAAGUACAAGAAGAAGAACAGAGUAAUAGCCUUUAAACCGGCCAACAACUUGUUAACCCGAACCAAAACCGGCUUCGAUUUGAUCUUGGUUAAAAUGCAACCCGAAGCCUCUGCGUCGUCUAGAGUCUUUCACUUCCACUUAAGUUGAACCCGGCAUAACCGCAGCAUUCUGGAUUUUGUGCUAACCCAAACCCUUUAUUUGAAACAUCUCUCAACAAGUUUGCAUCAAUCUUAUGUGAGGCACCUUGUGUCCGCAUAAUGUGCACCGUUAUCAAAUGGCUUGUCAUAUCGUCGUCGAUCUUCAAGCUACAUAUGAUCUUCAUUAACUUAUUCUCAUGAAGUCAGGAUUAAGAAUAGCUUGUGUAAGUGUGUAAAUGUGUGUUAUAAAGAGCAAACACUUGAUAUUAAAUAUAUUUUUGUUGUUCAUUCCCAAAAUAGAACCUUUUUCUUAUUAGGAC
Molecule: small RNA, 838 nt
Filed under: Arabidopsis thaliana (thale cress)
Lineage: Eukaryota; Viridiplantae; Streptophyta; Magnoliopsida; Brassicales; Brassicaceae
Description: putative long intergenic non-coding RNA
Source: RNAcentral